This 253-nucleotide ribosomal RNA is filed under the name uncultured bacterium. Its description in RNAcentral is "partial 16S ribosomal RNA". It matches the Rfam family "Bacterial small subunit ribosomal RNA", at positions 524 to 776 of the family's 1533-position model. The record is from RNAcentral.
UACGAAGGGGGCUAGCGUUGUUCGGAUUUACUGGGCGUAAAGCGCACGUAGGCGGAUUGGUCAGUUAGAGGUGAAAUCCCAGAGCUCAACUCUGGAACUGCCUUUAAUACUGCCAGUCUAGAGUCCGGAAGAGGUAAGUGGAACUCCUAGUGUAGAGGUGGAAUUCGUAGAUAUUAGGAAGAACGCCAGUGGCGAAGGCGGCUUACUGGUCCGGUACUGACGCUGAGGUGCGAAAGCGUGGGGAGCAAACAGG